Molecule: ribosomal RNA, 468 nt
Filed under: uncultured bacterium
Lineage: Bacteria
Description: partial 16S ribosomal RNA
Rfam family: Bacterial small subunit ribosomal RNA
Source: RNAcentral
GACGAACGCUGGCGGCGUGCUUAACACAUGCAAGUCGAACGGAAAGGCCCUGCUUUUGUGGGGUGCUCGAGUGGCGAACGGGUGAGUAACACGUGAGUAACCUGCCCUUGACUUUGGGAUAACUUCAGGAAACUGGGGCUAAUACCGGAUAGGAGCUCCUGCUGCAUGGUGGGGGUUGGAAAGUUUCGGCGGUUGGGGAUGGACUCGCGGCUUAUCAGCUUGUUGGUGGGGUAGUGGCUUACCAAGGCUUUGACGGGUAGCCGGCCUGAGAGGGUGACCGGCCACAUUGGGACUGAGAUACGGCCCGGACUCCUACGGGAGGCAGCAGUGGGGAAUAUUGCACAAUGGGCGGAAGCCUGAUGCAGCAACGCCGCGUGCGGGAUGACGGCCUUCGGGUUGUAAACCGCUUUCGCCUGUGACGAAGCGUGAGUGACGGUAAUGGGUAAAGAAGCACCGACUAACUACGUG